GACGAACGCUGGCGGCGUGCUUAACACAUGCAAGUCGAACGGAAAGGCCCUGCUUUUGUGGGGUGCUCGAGUGGCGAACGGGUGAGUAACACGUGAGUAACCUGCCCUUGACUUUGGGAUAACUUCAGGAAACUGGGGCUAAUACCGGAUAGGAGCUCCUGCUGCAUGGUGGGGGUUGGAUAGUUUCGGCGGUUGGGGAUGGACUCGCGGCUUAUCAGCUUGUUGGUGGGGUAGUGGCUUACCAAGGCUUUGACGGGUAGCCGGCCUGAGAGGGUGACCGGCCACAUUGGUACUACGAUACGGCCCAGACUCCUACGGGAGGCAGCAGUGGGGAGUAUGGCACAAUGGGCGGAAGCCUGAUGCGGCGACGCCGCGUGCGGGAUGACGGCCUUCUGGUUGUAAACCGCUUUCGCCUGUGACGAAGCGUGAGUGACGGUAAUGGGUAAAGAAGCACCGGCUAACUACGUG
This 468-nucleotide ribosomal RNA is filed under the name uncultured bacterium. Its description in RNAcentral is "partial 16S ribosomal RNA". It matches the Rfam family "Bacterial small subunit ribosomal RNA", at positions 28 to 507 of the family's 1533-position model. The record is from RNAcentral.